CGUGGGUAACCUACCCAUCAGAGGGGGAUAACACUUGGAAACAGGUGCUAAUACCGCAUAACAGUUUAUGCCGCAUGGCAUAAGAGUGAAAGGCGCUUUCGGGUGUCGCUGAUGGAUGGACCCGCGGUGCAUUAGCUAGUUGGUGGGGUAACGGCUCACCAAGGCCACGAUGCAUAGCCGACCUGAGAGGGUGAUCGGCCACACUGGGACUGAGACACGGCCCAG
RNAcentral lists this ribosomal RNA (225 nucleotides) under uncultured bacterium. RNAcentral's name for it is "partial 16S ribosomal RNA". It matches the Rfam family "Bacterial small subunit ribosomal RNA", at positions 116 to 334 of the family's 1533-position model. The record is from RNAcentral.